Molecule: non-coding RNA, 27 nt
Filed under: Rattus norvegicus (Norway rat)
Lineage: Eukaryota; Metazoa; Chordata; Mammalia; Rodentia; Muridae
Source: RNAcentral
UGGUGAACAGAGACUGUGUACUCACGG